This 640-nucleotide ribosomal RNA is filed under the name bacterium. RNAcentral's name for it is "bacterial SSU rRNA". It matches the Rfam family "Bacterial small subunit ribosomal RNA", at positions 64 to 723 of the family's 1533-position model. The record is from RNAcentral.
GGACGGGUGUGCACUUAGGAUGCGCUCUUACGAAGCCUUCGGGCUUAAUGGCGCACGGGUGCGUAACGCGUGGGAAUCUGCCCUUGGGUUCGGAAUAACAGUUAGAAAUGACUGCUAAUACCGGAUGAUGACGUAAGUCCAAAGAUUUAUCGCCCAAGGAUGAGCCCGCGUAGGAUUAGCUAGUUGGUGAGGUAAAAGCUCACCAAGGCGACGAUCCUUAGCUGGUCUGAGAGGAUGAUCAGCCACACUGGGACUGAGACACGGCCCAGACUCCUACGGGAGGCAGCAGUGGGGAAUAUUGGACAAUGGGCGAAAGCCUGAUCCAGCAAUGCCGCGUGAGUGAUGAAGGCCUUAGGGUUGUAAAGCUCUUUUACCCGGGAUGAUAAUGACAGUACCGGGAGAAUAAGCUCCGGCUAACUCCGUGCCAGCAGCCGCGGUAAUACGGAGGGAGCUAGCGUUAUUCGGAAUUACUGGGCGUAAAGCGCACGUAGGCGGCUUUGUAAGUUAGAGGUGAAAGCCCAGGGCUCAACCCUGGAAUUGCCUUUAAGACUGCAUCGCUCGAAUCCAGGAGAGGUGAGUGGAAUUCCGAGUGUAGAGGUGAAAUUCGUAGAUAUUCGGAAGAACACCAGUGGCGAAGGCG